AUAAUAAAAAAAGAAGAUAAUUGAACACUGUUCAUCAUCUUCUUCCCGUGAGAAUAAAUUUUUUUAAAGUUUUUAUGUUUUAAAUUCUUGACAUUUCUUGUUGUUAAUUUCUUGAAAUUUCCUCGUUUUUAGCUUGAUUUAGUGUUUUUCAUCUGGGUUCUUAACAUUUUCUGAGAUUAUUGGUUCCGUUCCGGCAGAUUUUUGAGUUAGAUUUUUUGUGAGGAAAAUGGAAUUUAGGUGAAGAAAAUGGGUUAGAUUUCUAGGUUCUUGAAAAUUUCCUGAGAUUCUUGAACUUUGUCCAUGAGAUUGUUCCGGUCCCCGUUUGUAUGAUGAUGAAACCGACUAGGAGGCCGUCGAAGGUUCGCCACACGAAGGUGGAGGAACAGGGUGGGAAAAUCCAAUGGCCACCAUGUGUGCGCCAAAGAUCUUUCAACUGACCCGGGAACCCGACCACAGUUCUGACGGAGGCACUCUACCCAGAGAGUGGGAAUGGGGGUGUAGGGUGGGGGCUGUAGUGGGAGGUUGGGAGGGGAAGAAGAUGAUGAACAGUGUUCAAUCAUCUCCUUAUUCUUAUUUUUUAUGUUUCAAGUUUUUAAUUAUAAAAACUAAAAAUUGUUUUUUAAUAUUUAAAUCUUUUUAUUUCACAAAAUAAUAUUUUAAUAAAUUUGUGAGAUCCAUUUAAAUGUCAUGUCAGCACUUAACAUAAUUUUUAACCGAAAUAUGACGAAAUGACCACAUUAAUUUGCCACACUCAUUUUCAGGGACUACAUUGAUUAAUUUUCAAUUUCAAUGACCAACUUGAUAGAAUUGGUCAAUUUCAAUAAUCAUUUGUGAUAAAAACUACAACAAUAUAUUAAAAAAACUUACCAACUAGCUUUUUUCUUAGUGUUACUUUUUCUCAAAAACUACAAUAAUAUAAAAAAAAUAAAUGGUCUGUUCACGUACAAGACAUCUGUGUUAAGGGCACUUCCAGGGGUGUGCUUUCCCCCGAGGGACAGGCCCGCGAACAGUGGUAGAGAGCCCGAGCAACCAAGCCUAACUUGUGCUGGCGAUGGAGCCCGAGGGAGAGGCCCAGCAAGCGUUGCCAGCCCGAAGGCAACUUGACGUGGGCUGACGUCAGUCACAAUAUUUAAUUAAUAAAAAUAUAAAAUAUUAAUAAAAAAAGUAAAAUUAAAAAAAAUUGUAAAACCCAGGCUUCGAACCCAACGGCUCUCGCUGGAGUUUGUCGCCGAGGUUGAUGAACACCCACAGACAAAUGGCAGAGAUCUAGUCCUUCCUCCGCCGCAGCUGCCGCCGCACUCCACACCGCCUUCGCCCCCACGCACUCGCGAUCUUCCUCCUUCCAUUGGCGCGCCAAGAUCGCACGAUUUGGGAUUUGUUUUUGGGGGAAAGAGGAGAGAGAGAGAGAGAGUUUGGUUAGGGAGCGGGGAUGAUCGGGACCAUUGAUGGAGGCUGAGGUGGGUGGGAUGGUGAAGAUGGAGGAAGAGAGGCGAGGAGGGUUUGGGUGCGUUGGGGGGAGGGGGAGGGGGACACGGGUUAAAAGUCUGGGUGCUGGUUGAAAAAGAAAGCUGUUGAGUUUGAAAAAGAAAGAAAAAAAAAACAGAGCUUGGUGAGUUGGCACCAUGUGAAAAGAAGAAGAAAAAUAAUAAUAAUAAUAAAAAUUUUGGAAUGGUGCAUCGGCACCAUGUGAAAAUAACAAAGGUUUUGCACCAUGUGAAAAGAAAAAAUUAAAAAUAAUAAAAAUAAAAUUUUUAAUAGAAAGUGAUACAACGAAACCG
RNAcentral lists this long non-coding RNA (1778 nucleotides) under Malus domestica (apple). RNAcentral's name for it is "long non-coding RNA (MDOM_LNC004137)". The record is from RNAcentral. Lineage: Eukaryota; Viridiplantae; Streptophyta; Magnoliopsida; Rosales; Rosaceae.